Molecule: ribosomal RNA, 2903 nt
Filed under: Salmonella enterica
Lineage: Bacteria; Pseudomonadati; Pseudomonadota; Gammaproteobacteria; Enterobacterales; Enterobacteriaceae
Description: bacterial LSU rRNA
Rfam family: Bacterial large subunit ribosomal RNA
Source: RNAcentral
UUAAGCGACUAAGCGUACACGGUGGAUGCCCUGGCAGUCAGAGGCGAUGAAGGGCGUGCUAAUCUGCGAUAAGCGCCGGUAAGGUGAUAUGAACCGUUAUAACCGGCGAUACCCGAAUGGGGAAACCCAGUGUGAUUCGUCACACUAUCAUUAACUGAAUCCAUAGGUUAAUGAGGCGAACCGGGGGAACUGAAACAUCUAAGUACCCCGAGGAAAAGAAAUCAACCGAGAUUCCCCCAGUAGCGGCGAGCGAACGGGGAGGAGCCCAGAGCCUGAAUCAGCAUGUGUGUUAGUGGAAGCGUCUGGAAAGGCGCGCGAUACAGGGUGACAGCCCCGUACACAAAAGCGCAUGUGCUGUGAGCUCGAUGAGUAGGGCGGGACACGUGGUAUCCUGUCUGAAUAUGGGGGGACCAUCCUCCAAGGCUAAAUACUCCUGACUGACCGAUAGUGAACCAGUACCGUGAGGGAAAGGCGAAAAGAACCCCGGCGAGGGGAGUGAAAAAGAACCUGAAACCGUGUACGUACAAGCAGUGGGAGCACAGGUUUACCUGUGUGACUGCGUACCUUUUGUAUAAUGGGUCAGCGACUUAUAUUCUGUAGCAAGGUUAACCGAAUAGGGGAGCCGGAGGGAAACCGAGUCUUAAUUGGGCGUUAAGUUGCAGGGUAUAGACCCGAAACCCGGUGAUCUAGCCAUGGGCAGGUUGAAGGUUGGGUAACACUAACUGGAGGACCGAACCGACUAAUGUUGAAAAAUUAGCGGAUGACCUGUGGCUGGGGGUGAAAGGCCAAUCAAACCGGGAGAUAGCUGGUUCUCCCCGAAAGCUAUUUAGGUAGCGCCUCGUGAAUUCAUCUCCGGGGGUAGAGCACUGUUUCGGCUAGGGGGCCAUCCCGGCUUACCAACCCGAUGCAAACUGCGAAUACCGGAGAAUGUUAUCACGGGAGACACACGGCGGGUGCUAACGUCCGUCGUGAAGAGGGAAACAACCCAGACCGCCAGCUAAGGUCCCAAAGUCAUGGUUAAGUGGGAAACGAUGUGGGAAGGCCCAGACAGCCAGGAUGUUGGCUUAGAAGCAGCCAUCAUUUAAAGAAAGCGUAAUAGCUCACUGGUCGAGUCGGCCUGCGCGGAAGAUGUAACGGGGCUAAACCAUGCACCGAAGCUGCGGCAGCGACACUGUGUGUUGUUGGGUAGGGGAGCGUUCUGUAAGCCUGCGAAGGUGGCCUGUGAGGGUUGCUGGAGGUAUCAGAAGUGCGAAUGCUGACAUAAGUAACGAUAAAGCGGGUGAAAAGCCCGCUCGCCGGAAGACCAAGGGUUCCUGUCCAACGUUAAUCGGGGCAGGGUGAGUCGACCCCUAAGGCGAGGCCGAAAGGCGUAGUCGAUGGGAAACGGGUUAAUAUUCCCGUACUUGGUGUUACUGCGAAGGGGGGACGGAGAAGGCUAUGUUGGCCGGGCGACGGUUGUCCCGGUUUAAGCGUGUAGGCUGGUUUUCCAGGCAAAUCCGGAAAAUCAAGGCUGAGGCGUGAUGACGAGGCACUACGGUGCUGAAGCAACAAAUGCCCUGCUUCCAGGAAAAGCCUCUAAGCAUCAGGUAACAUCAAAUCGUACCCCAAACCGACACAGGUGGUCAGGUAGAGAAUACCAAGGCGCUUGAGAGAACUCGGGUGAAGGAACUAGGCAAAAUGGUGCCGUAACUUCGGGAGAAGGCACGCUGACACGUAGGUGAAGUGAUUUACUCAUGGAGCUGAAGUCAGUCGAAGAUACCAGCUGGCUGCAACUGUUUAUUAAAAACACAGCACUGUGCAAACACGAAAGUGGACGUAUACGGUGUGACGCCUGCCCGGUGCCGGAAGGUUAAUUGAUGGGGUCAGCGCAAGCGAAGCUCCUGAUCGAAGCCCCGGUAAACGGCGGCCGUAACUAUAACGGUCCUAAGGUAGCGAAAUUCCUUGUCGGGUAAGUUCCGACCUGCACGAAUGGCGUAAUGAUGGCCAGGCUGUCUCCACCCGAGACUCAGUGAAAUUGAACUCGCUGUGAAGAUGCAGUGUACCCGCGGCAAGACGGAAAGACCCCGUGAACCUUUACUAUAGCUUGACACUGAACAUUGAGCCUUGAUGUGUAGGAUAGGUGGGAGGCUUUGAAGUGUGGACGCCAGUCUGCAUGGAGCCGACCUUGAAAUACCACCCUUUAAUGUUUGAUGUUCUAACGUGGACCCGUUACCCGGGUUGCGGACAGUGUCUGGUGGGUAGUUUGACUGGGGCGGUCUCCUCCUAAAGAGUAACGGAGGAGCACGAAGGUUGGCUAAUCCUGGUCGGACAUCAGGAGGUUAGUGCAAUGGCAUAAGCCAGCUUGACUGCGAGCGUGACGGCGCGAGCAGGUGCGAAAGCAGGUCAUAGUGAUCCGGUGGUUCUGAAUGGAAGGGCCAUCGCUCAACGGAUAAAAGGUACUCCGGGGAUAACAGGCUGAUACCGCCCAAGAGUUCAUAUCGACGGCGGUGUUUGGCACCUCGAUGUCGGCUCAUCACAUCCUGGGGCUGAAGUAGGUCCCAAGGGUAUGGCUGUUCGCCAUUUAAAGUGGUACGCGAGCUGGGUUUAGAACGUCGUGAGACAGUUCGGUCCCUAUCUGCCGUGGGCGCUGGAGAACUGAGGGGGGCUGCUCCUAGUACGAGAGGACCGGAGUGGACGCAUCACUGGUGUUCGGGUUGUCAUGCCAAUGGCACUGCCCGGUAGCUAAAUGCGGAAGAGAUAAGUGCUGAAAGCAUCUAAGCACGAAACUUGCCCCGAGAUGAGUUCUCCCUGAGACUUAAAGUCUCCUGAAGGAACGUUGAAGACGACGACGUUGAUAGGCCGGGUGUGUAAGCGCAGCGAUGCGUUGAGCUAACCGGUACUAAUGAACCGUGAGGCUUAACCUU